RNAcentral lists this long non-coding RNA (411 nucleotides) under Salmo salar (Atlantic salmon). RNAcentral's name for it is "lncRNA (ENSSSAG00000092967.1)". The record is from RNAcentral. Lineage: Eukaryota; Metazoa; Chordata; Actinopteri; Salmoniformes; Salmonidae.
GCUCCGUACAGGGAAGCCUGGGAAACAGGAGCAACCAACCAACAGACAGACAAGUGCAUACAGUGCAGAAGCUUACUGCAGGGAGAGAACAUUGACCCUAAUGAGGAUCUAUGGAAGCCUGCUUGAUCCAAGAUGAAAGGUGGAGAGACAGUUUGGACAGUAAUCAAAACGCAUAUGGCCCCUUUGAAACACUUGGACUACGAUGUGAAGUUAACCCAUCCUUAGCAUGACAGAAUCCAGAGCCACCAAAUGUUGUAUCACAGUUAGAGGUUGGAAACACAUCCAUAUAAUGAAAGGCGUGUGUGAAAACGGGGACAGAGGGAGAUCAUCCGCUCUGGAGGGAAAUUUCCUCUCUUAGGACUGUGUCCUCGUUAUACUUUCCCAUCCCAAAGCAAGGUCACAGCGUCUCCC